GAAGGUGGGAAGAAGGCGAGUGCAGCGGCCACUGCAGAGACCAGCCCCAGCCCUGGGGAGAGCUGCCCGGAAAUGGCUCGUCCCGCUGCUCUGUCUAGCAGUAACGGUCUGUCAGGCUCAGGACACCUGCCCAGAGGUGAGCUUAGUGAGUCUCAACAGUACCGAGAAAGCCUCCUUUCUCCAAGGCUGCAGAGGAAUUCCAGGCGCGGUGGGGCCCAGAGGAGACCCAGGAGCUCCAGGAGUAAAAGGAGAACAAGGACAUCAGGGGAUCCCUGGAAAGGCAGGACCAGUUGGGCCAAAAGG
Non-coding RNA from Pelodiscus sinensis (Chinese soft-shelled turtle), 303 nucleotides. NCBI's taxonomy places the organism in Eukaryota, Metazoa, Chordata, Testudines, Trionychidae. The record is from RefSeq and is a predicted model, not a curated record.